AUUGAACGCUGGCGGCAGGCCUAACACAUGCAAGUCGAACGGUAACAGGAAGAAGCUUGCUUCUUUGCUGACGAGUGGCGGACGGGUGAGUAAUGUCUGGGAAACUGCCUGAUGGAGGGGGAUAACUACUGGAAACGGUAGCUAAUACCGCAUAACGUCGCAAGACCAAAGAGGGGGACCUUCGGGCCUCUUGCCCUCGGAUGUGCCCAGAUGUGAUUAGCUAGUAGGUGGGGUAACGGCUCACCUAGGCGACGAUCCCUAGCUGGUCUGAGAGGAUGACCAGCCACACUGGAACUGAGACACGGACCAGGAUCCUACGGGAGGCAGCGGUGGGAAAUAUGGCACAAUGGGCGCAAGCCUGAUGCAGCCAUGCCGCGUGUAUGAAGAAGGCCUUCGGGUUGUAAAGUACUUUCGGCGGGGAGGAAGGGAGUAAAGUUAAUACCUUUGCUCAUUGACGUUACCCGCAGAAGAAGCACCGGCGAACUCCGU
RNAcentral lists this ribosomal RNA (489 nucleotides) under uncultured bacterium. Its description in RNAcentral is "partial 16S ribosomal RNA". It matches the Rfam family "Bacterial small subunit ribosomal RNA", at positions 30 to 506 of the family's 1533-position model. The record is from RNAcentral.